GAGAUGUUCUGCUCUCAUUUCUGACAUAGGAGGCAGGAGCAUUCAUCAGAUAAGCCUGACCUCAGUAGAACUGCUGUAAGAGACUGAUGAACAGUGCUGCAGAGAAGCUAAGGUAGUCUUGCUGCUGCACAUCACAGGGUAGAGAAAGGUGAUCCUUUGGGGGCACUUAAAGCAGCUUGAGUGGAGGAUUAUGAAUUUUUCCCUUGAGAUCCUUGAUGCCUGAGAACUCCUCACCUGCCAGAAUUCCUCACCACCUCUUUGCCUGCUGGUAAGGAAUAGGAAUUUACUGGUUGGUGUGUAGUGCUCUAAAGAAUUUUAAGCCAAUUCUUAUGUACUUAACAAGUAUUAGAAAACAAAAAUGCAUAUGUUUGUGGUUUUUAAGGCAGACUAGCUACAAGGAAAGGAUGGAUAUAAUUAAGUUAAUAAAAUCUCAUUCUGAAGGUUUCUUGUGCUAUAAGAGGGUCCUCUGAAGCACUGGCGGAUGGGGG
Molecule: non-coding RNA, 488 nt
Organism: Zonotrichia albicollis (white-throated sparrow)
Lineage: Eukaryota; Metazoa; Chordata; Aves; Passeriformes; Passerellidae
Source: RefSeq, a predicted model, not a curated record